This 295-nucleotide ribosomal RNA is filed under the name uncultured bacterium. Its description in RNAcentral is "partial 16S ribosomal RNA". It matches the Rfam family "Bacterial small subunit ribosomal RNA", at positions 337 to 629 of the family's 1533-position model. The record is from RNAcentral.
GCCUACGGGGGGCAGCAGUGAGGAAUAUUGGACAAUGGACGGAAGGCUGAACCAGCCAAGUCGCGUGAGGGAAUAAGGCCCUAUGGGUCGUAAACCUCUUUUGUCAGGGAGCAAAGGCGUCCACGUGUGGACGAGAGGAGAGUACCUUAAGAAAAAGCAUCGGCUAACUCCGUGCCAGCAGCCGCGGUAAUACGGAGGAUGCGAGCGGUAUCCGGAUUUAUUGGGUUUGAAGGGUGCGUAGGCGGAGUGUCAAGUCAGCGGUAAAAUUUCGGGGCUCAACCACGGCGUGCCGUUG